UACGGGGGGUGCGAGCGUUGUCCGGAAUCACUGGGCGUAAAGGGCGCGUAGGUGGUCUUGUAAGUCUGUGGUGAAAGCCCGGGGCUCAACCCCGGGUCUGCCAUGGAUACUGUGAGACUAGAGUGCUGUAGAGGCAGGUAGAAUAUCGGGUGUAGCGGUGGAAUGCGUAGAGAUCCGAUAGAAGACCGGUGGCGAAGGCGGCCUGCUGGGCAGUAACUGACACUGAGGCGCGACAGCGUGGGGAGCAAACAGG
RNAcentral lists this ribosomal RNA (253 nucleotides) under uncultured bacterium. RNAcentral's name for it is "partial 16S ribosomal RNA". It matches the Rfam family "Bacterial small subunit ribosomal RNA", at positions 524 to 776 of the family's 1533-position model. The record is from RNAcentral.